UGGUUUAUGCUGAGUUAUGAUUACUGACCAUGAUGAAGUGAAGCUCAGUAUAAGUACUCUGAAGUCU
Ailuropoda melanoleuca (giant panda) is the source of this 67-nucleotide small nucleolar RNA. Ensembl annotates it as small nucleolar RNA, C/D box 64. The record is from Ensembl. Lineage: Eukaryota; Metazoa; Chordata; Mammalia; Carnivora; Ursidae.